RNAcentral lists this ribosomal RNA (429 nucleotides) under Pseudomonadota bacterium. RNAcentral describes it as "Proteobacteria bacterium partial 16S ribosomal RNA". It matches the Rfam family "Bacterial small subunit ribosomal RNA", at positions 355 to 776 of the family's 1533-position model. Lineage: Bacteria; Pseudomonadati; Pseudomonadota. The record is from RNAcentral.
UGGGGAAUAUUGGACAAUGGGCGAAAGCCUGAUCCAGCCAUGCCGCGUGUGUGAAGAAGGUCUUCGGAUUGUAAAGCACUUUAAGUUGGGAGGAAGGGCAGUAAGCGAAUACCUUGCUGUUUUGACGUUACCGACAGAAUAAGCACCGGCGAACUCUGUGCCAGCAGCCGCGGUAAUACAGAGGGUGCAAGCGUUAAACGGAAUUACUGGGCGUAAAGGGCGCGUAGGUGGUUCGUUAAGUUGAAUGUGAAAGCCCCGGGCUCAACCUGGGCACUGCAUCCAACACAGGCGAGCUAGAGUAGGGCAGAGGGUGGUGGAAUUUCCUGUGUAGCGGUGAAAUGCGUAGAUAUAGGAAGGAACACCAGUGGCGAAGGCGACCACCUGGGCUCAUACUGACACUGAGGUGCGAAAGCGUGGGGAGCAAACAGG